This is a ribosomal RNA of Bison bison bison, 116 nucleotides long. The record is from Ensembl. NCBI's taxonomy places the organism in Eukaryota, Metazoa, Chordata, Mammalia, Artiodactyla, Bovidae.
GUCUACCACCAUACCACCCUGAACAUACCCUAUCUCGUCUGAUCUCAGAAGCAAAGCAGGGUCUGGCCUGGUUAGUACUUGAAUGGGAGAAAGUAUACCUGGAUAACUUGUAAUCU